RNAcentral lists this long non-coding RNA (539 nucleotides) under Homo sapiens (human). RNAcentral's name for it is "HSALNT0193665". The record is from RNAcentral. Lineage: Eukaryota; Metazoa; Chordata; Mammalia; Primates; Hominidae.
UGUUCUCUCACUUGUGACUGUGAACAAUUCCGAAUCUCGCCCAUUUGAAGGGAAAUUAUACCAACUUCACGGAGGGCUGACAGAAUGGAAAUGAAAUCUAGGAAAUUGUGGCUAUAAUUCUAGUGAGAUUACUUUCUUUUAACUGCUAUUUAUUUAGCCUCUACUAUAUGCUAAACACAUGAAACGUAGAUGAUGUUGGAUUUUAAUCCAAGUGUGAAUAUUUAAAAUGAAACACCAUAAAAUACACCAAAGCAUGGAUGUUAAUUUACUGUCGGCAUUUCCAUGGAGGAAAGGCUUUGUGAAAGAAGGAAAUCCACAGGAAAAGCAGCAAGACCAUAACUUUUCAAUGGCCCUGAGACCCAGCUGCCUGCUUUCAUAUCACAUGCCAGCCCCAUGAAGAUGUCCUGGAAGCUCACUGGAGCUUUUCAACUAGCAAGGCAUGGGAAAGGAAAUCAAUGCCCCUACUCACCUUUGGAAGAAUUUCACUACCAAGUCUCCGUGGUUCUAUGGGAUCCAAUAAUCCUUGGCUCAGUAUUGAU